AUACGGAGGAUGCAAGCGUUAUCCGGAUUUAUUGGGUUUAAAGGGUGCGUAGGCGGGACUGUAAGUCAGGGGUGAAAUACUGCAGCUUAACUGUAGCAUUGCCUUUGAAGCUGCCGUUCUUGAGUACAGUUGAGGUAGGCGGAAUGUGGUGUGUAGCGGUGAAAUGCAUAGAUAUACCACAGAACGCCGAUUGCGAAGGCAGCUUACUAAGCUGUUACUGACGCUGAGGCACGAAAGCGUGGGGAUCAAACAGGAUUAGAUACCCUGGUAGUCCACGCUGUAAACGAUGAUUACUGGUUGUUAGCGAUAUAUAGCUAGUGACUGAGCGAAAGCAUUAAGUAAUCCACCUGGGGAGUACGUCGGCAACGAUGAAACUCAAAGGAAUUGACGGGG
Molecule: ribosomal RNA, 393 nt
Filed under: uncultured bacterium
Lineage: Bacteria
Description: partial 16S ribosomal RNA
Rfam family: Bacterial small subunit ribosomal RNA
Source: RNAcentral